GUGAAGGGGUAUGGUUUUGGGUCGGUAUUAACUUAUUCCUUGCAAUCAUAUACAUUUCAUAAUUUUACCAAUAGGUACUAUGUUAUUUAUUUUAUUUCAUUCUAUUUAGGUUUGUGAUUUAUAUUUAGGUUUAGGGUUUAUAUUUGGGUAAUGGUUUAUUGAUUAGAGUUUAGGGUUUAGUAUUUAGAAGGUGAGUGAGUAUGGUUAUGGUCAACGUUAACUUCUUCCAUGCAAUCAUAGACAUUUCAUAAUUUCACCAAUAUUUACUAUUUUAUUUAUUUUGUUCCAUUCUAUCUGGGUUUUGGGUUUAUAUUUGAGUUUAUAGUUUAUAUUUGUUUUUAGGGUUUAGUAUUUAAGGAUUGGGGUGAGAUUGAGAUAAAGUUUAGUAUCUAGGGAUUGUGGUUGAGAUAUGUUUAGUAUUUAGGGAUUAUAGGUGGAGUUAUAAUCCUAUACUACUUAGGUGAUAUGUAACAUAACACUCGUGCAUAUGUAUGUAAGAUAUACGUGGAUAGUUCUUUUUUCUCUUAAUUGGAAUAUUUUUUAGGUGCUCUUGACCUUUUAUUUGGAAUAGUUUAAAUUGUAUUAAAGUCUACAUUUCCAUGUAUGAUUUAGUUCUUAUUUGAUAGGAUUCAGUUUAU
Molecule: long non-coding RNA, 638 nt
Filed under: Brassica napus (rape)
Lineage: Eukaryota; Viridiplantae; Streptophyta; Magnoliopsida; Brassicales; Brassicaceae
Description: long non-coding RNA (BNAP_LNC024419)
Source: RNAcentral